UACGGAGGGUGCAAGCGUUAUCCGGAUUCACUGGGUUUAAAGGGUGCGUAGGAGGGUAGGUAAGUCAGUGGUGAAAUCUUCGAGCUUAACUCGGAAACUGCCGUUGAUACUAUCUAUCUUGAAUACCGUGGAGGUGAGCGGAAUAUGUCAUGUAGCGGUGAAAUGCGUAGAUAUCGUCUGGAGCGCCAAAGGUGAAAACAGACUGCUGGGAGUGUGCUGACGCUGAGACACGAAAGCUAGGGGAGCGAACGGG
This 253-nucleotide ribosomal RNA is filed under the name uncultured bacterium. RNAcentral describes it as "partial 16S ribosomal RNA". It matches the Rfam family "Bacterial small subunit ribosomal RNA", at positions 524 to 776 of the family's 1533-position model. The record is from RNAcentral.